RNAcentral lists this transfer RNA (74 nucleotides) under Chloroflexota bacterium. RNAcentral's name for it is "Chloroflexi bacterium tRNA-Val". It matches the Rfam family "tRNA". Rfam says of the family: Transfer RNA (tRNA) molecules are approximately 80 nucleotides in length. The record is from RNAcentral. RNAcentral also lists the same sequence under 3 other names. Lineage: Bacteria; Bacillati; Chloroflexota.
GGGCUCUUAGCUCAGCUGGUUAGAGCGCAGCGUUGACAUCGCUGAGGUCGGGCGUUCGAGCCGCCCAGAGCCCA